AACUGAAAAACAUUACCAUCCAUGAAAGCCAGGAAGUGAGUGCACUCCAGGAACAGACCACAGAACGCAAAAGCGAAAUCGCAGAACUGUCACAGAAACUGAGCCAGAGGAAGCUAGAAGUGGCCACUUUAAAAGAUGAAAUAGCCUAACUUAAGUCUCAGAUUGUGGAGUCUCCUGAGGAGCUCAAGAAUGAGAUGGAGAAAAUGAAGGAGAGCAUAAGGAACAUCAAGAACUCGAAAGAGAUGGCUGACGCUGCACUAGUGGAGUUGCAGAUUAAGGUGCAGCAUGCUAGCCAAGGUGAAGCAGAGAUUCAAGGAAUACUGAAACAGCUGCAUGACCUGCAGGCAAGCAUGUG
Long non-coding RNA from Clarias gariepinus (North African catfish), 355 nucleotides. RefSeq lists it as uncharacterized. The record is from RefSeq and is a predicted model, not a curated record. NCBI's taxonomy places the organism in Eukaryota, Metazoa, Chordata, Actinopteri, Siluriformes, Clariidae. The transcript has 4 exons.